Molecule: ribosomal RNA, 368 nt
Filed under: uncultured organism
Description: bacterial SSU rRNA
Rfam family: Bacterial small subunit ribosomal RNA
Source: RNAcentral
CGUAGGUGGCAAGCGUUGUCCGGAUUUAUUGGGUUUAAAGGGUGCGUAGGCGGUCUAUUAAGUCAGUGGUGAAAUACUCUAGCUCAACUAGAGGGGUGCCAUUGAUACUGAUGGACUUGAGUACAGAUGAGGUAGGCGGAAUUGACGGUGUAGCGGUGAAAUGCUUAGAUAUCGUCAAGAACACCUAUAGCGAAGGCAGCUUACUAGGCUGUAACUGACGCUGAGGCACGAAAGUGUGGGGAUCAAACAGGAUUAGAUACCCUGGUAGUCCACACUGUAAACGUUGAUUACUCGCUGUGUGCGAUAUACAGUACGCGGCCAAGCGAAAGCGAUAAGUAAUCCACCUGGGGAGUACGCCGGCAACGGUG